Phragmites australis (common reed) is the source of this 425-nucleotide long non-coding RNA. RefSeq lists it as uncharacterized. The transcript has 3 exons. NCBI's taxonomy places the organism in Eukaryota, Viridiplantae, Streptophyta, Magnoliopsida, Poales, Poaceae. The record is from RefSeq and is a predicted model, not a curated record.
AAAACAUGUUCUCUAAAGUUGGAGUUAGAUUUAACAAUCAGGUCCCCGAUGGUAAUGAUGUUGGAGGUUUCUGCGAGGAAAAUCAUGGCUUCUUUUGUCGUGCUAGUGAACUUCGGCCAGACUCUUCUGGUAGUGAAGAAGUUAGUAGCCUUGCUUUAGGCCAGUUAAUUGAGGUCAUUUCAGAAGAAAGCAAAAGCAGCAAUUUGAUUGUGUUACUCAAGGAUGUAGAGAAGUCAUUCACUGAAUGUACAGAAUCGCAUGAACCACUUAGAAGCAAACUUCCACCUGGUGUUCUGAUAUUUGAGUCUCGGACUCAGGCAGAGAGCUGCAAGGAUCAGGUACACUUGCACACCUUUUAGGAAAUAAAAUGAAAUUUGGAACACAAGUUGUCAAGACAUAAUGGGUAAUGAAGCAUGUUUGAGGUA